Molecule: long non-coding RNA, 459 nt
Organism: Esox lucius (northern pike)
Lineage: Eukaryota; Metazoa; Chordata; Actinopteri; Esociformes; Esocidae
Source: Ensembl
CAAGAGCCUGAUGGUCAUUGACAGAGUUCCUGUGUCAAAAUGGGAGAACCUUCCAGAAGGACAACCAUCUCUGCAGCACUCCACCAGGCCUUCAUGGUCGAGUGGCCACUAGGAAGUCACUCCUCAGUAAAAGCGGUCUACACCAGCGGUUCCCAACUCCAGGAACCAUUGGUUUACACAAUCCCCACAAGGUUAAGUGAAUGUGCUGAACAUGGAUUCCACUCCGCAAGAAUAAAACCUGAGCGUGACUCAGUACUGUUGAAAUAAAAUAAAGUUGACUGGGAGAGCAAAAUUGCAUGCAAUGCGGAGCUGCAGAUAUGUCUGUCUGAGGGAUCCAAGAAUUCACAGCAACGGAAGAACCGUACCCAGACAUCAAGAAACAGCAGACAGCAAAACUCUAAGGAGCAGGAACGUGACUGUGUCUACGCUACAUGCUCAGUACACGUGUGUAUGUAAUUU